GAGGAAUAUUGGACAAUGGAUGGAAAUCUGAUCCAGCCAUGCCGCGUGCAGGAAGACGGCCCUAUGGGUUGUGAACUGCUUUUGUAUGGGAGCAAUAAGGUCUACGUGUAGACCGAUGAGAGUACCAUACGAAUAAGCACCGGCUAACUCCGUGCCAGCAGCCGCGGUAAUACGGAGGGUGCAAGCGUUAUCCGGAUUUAUUGGGUUUAAAGGGUGCGUAGGCGGUUUGAUAAGUCAGCGGUGUAAUAUUUCAGCUUAACUGGAAGGGUGCCGUUGAUCCUGUCAGGCUUGAAUGUAGUUGCUGUGGGUGGAAUGUGUGGUGUAGCGGUGAAAUGCAUAGAUAUCACACAGAAUAUCGAUUGCGAAGGCAGCUCACAAAGCUAAUAUUGACGCUGAUGCACGAAAGUGUGGGGAUCAAAC
This 420-nucleotide ribosomal RNA is filed under the name uncultured bacterium. RNAcentral's name for it is "bacterial SSU rRNA". It matches the Rfam family "Bacterial small subunit ribosomal RNA", at positions 356 to 773 of the family's 1533-position model. The record is from RNAcentral.